Molecule: unclassified non-coding RNA, 368 nt
Filed under: uncultured bacterium
Lineage: Bacteria
Description: partial contains 16S ribosomal RNA, 16S-23S ribosomal RNA intergenic spacer, and 23S ribosomal RNA
Rfam family: Bacterial large subunit ribosomal RNA (bases 255-368)
Source: RNAcentral
UCUGGAGCAGACUUCCGGGUCGCCCUUAGUUUUGGUAGCAGUCAACGGGGGAUUAGCUCAGCUGGCUAGAGCACCUGCUUUGCAAGCAGGGGGUCAACGGUUCGAAUCCGUUAUUCUCCACUUCAAAAGAGAACAUUGACAAGGCUGGAAGCGAGUAUAUCAUGAGAUAUACAGCGAGAACGAGUAGAAACACAGAGUUUCACAACGAGCAAACCAAAGGCGAACAUUAUCGAACUUGAGUUCGGUUAAGACAUUAACGGAACGACAAGGGCGCAUGGGGGAUGCCUAGGCUCUCGGAGGCGAAGAAGGACGUGACAAGCUGCGAUAAGCCGCGGCGAGGGGCAAAUACCCUUUGACCCGCGGAUUUC